Molecule: long non-coding RNA, 480 nt
Organism: Rattus norvegicus (Norway rat)
Lineage: Eukaryota; Metazoa; Chordata; Mammalia; Rodentia; Muridae
Source: Ensembl
UCAAACCAGACAAAAACACCAACAUGGAAGGAGGAGUUUGAGGUUGCAGUCUACUAUGGUGAAGUCAAGGCAGCAAGGACUUGAUGUAUGACAUCUCAUCCACUCACAAUCAGAAAGUAGAGGACCCUGGUACAGCUGUCUCGUGAAAGGCUCUGCCGGCACCUGACCAAUACAGAUGCAGAUACUCACAGCCAACCAUUGAACUGAGCUUGAGGACCACAAUGGAAGAUUUACAGGGAGGACUGAAGAUGCAGAAGUGGAUUGCAACCCCAUAGGAAGAACAACGAUAUCAGCUAACUGGACAACCCAGAGCUCCCAGAGACUAAACCACCAACCAAACAAUACACAUGGAGGGACCCGUGGCUCCAGCUGCAUAUGUAGCAGAGGAUGGGCUUAUCUGACAUCACUGGGAGGGAAGCCCCUUGGUCCUCUGGAGGCUCGAUGUCCCAGCAUAAGGGGAUACUAGAGCAGUGAGGCAGG